GGACCAUCAUGUCGGUCGUGCCUCGGUACGUACUGGUAUUUUCGGUUUCUCCCUUCUGACGAACCUUGAUGUCAUUAAUUUGAUGUCGUGGAGAAUCAGGACUGCUACUUUGAAAAAAUUAGAGUGUUUAAAGCAGGCUCACGCUUGAAUACAUUAGCAUGGAAUAAUGAAAUAGGACGUUUGAUUCUAUUUUGUUGGUUUCUAGGAUCGACGUA
Molecule: ribosomal RNA, 215 nt
Filed under: Campeiostachys nutans
Lineage: Eukaryota; Viridiplantae; Streptophyta; Magnoliopsida; Poales; Poaceae
Description: Elymus nutans partial small subunit ribosomal RNA
Rfam family: Eukaryotic small subunit ribosomal RNA (bases 37-215)
Source: RNAcentral